GGGUCAGUAGGUUGGUCGUGCCACCGGUACGUACUGGUCUCACUGAUUCCUCCUUCCUGAAGAACCGUAAUGCCAUUAAUUUGGUGUGGCGGGGAAACAGGACUGUUACUUUGAAAAAAUUAGAGUGUUUAAAGCAAGCUAACGCUUGAAUACAUUAGCAUGGAAUAAUGAAAUAGGACGAUCGAUCCUCUUUUGUUGGUUUCUAGGAUUGACGCA
This 216-nucleotide ribosomal RNA is filed under the name Glomeromycotina sp. RNAcentral's name for it is "partial small subunit ribosomal RNA". The stretch from base 44 to 216 matches the Rfam family "Eukaryotic small subunit ribosomal RNA", at positions 690 to 864 of the family's 1831-position model. The record is from RNAcentral. Lineage: Eukaryota; Fungi; Glomeromycota.